UGGGGAAUAUUGGACAAUGGGCGCAAGCCUGAUCCAGCCAUGCCGCGUGAGUGAUGAAGGCCUUAGGGUUGUAAAGCUCUUUCGUCAGGGAAGCGGUACCUGAAGAAGAAGCCCCGGCUAACUUCGUGCCAGCAGCCGCGGUAAUACGAAGGGGGCUAGCGUUGCUCGGAAUCACUGGGCGUAAAGCGCACGUAGGCGGCUUUCUAAGUCAGGGGUGAAAUCCUGGAGCUCAACUCCAGAACUGCCCUUGAUACUGGAAAGCUUGAGUUCGGGAGAGGUGAGUGGAACUGCGAGUGUAGAGGUGAAAUUCGUAGAUAUUCGCAAGAACACCAGUGCGAAGCGGCUCACUGGCCCGAACUGACGCUGAGGUGCGAAAGCGUGGGGAGCAAACAGGAUUAGAUACCCGAGUAGU
This 412-nucleotide ribosomal RNA is filed under the name uncultured bacterium. RNAcentral describes it as "bacterial SSU rRNA". It matches the Rfam family "Bacterial small subunit ribosomal RNA", at positions 355 to 794 of the family's 1533-position model. The record is from RNAcentral.